Molecule: long non-coding RNA, 1943 nt
Filed under: Macaca fascicularis (crab-eating macaque)
Lineage: Eukaryota; Metazoa; Chordata; Mammalia; Primates; Cercopithecidae
Description: lncRNA (ENSMFAG00000052693.1)
Source: RNAcentral
UUUUUUUUUUUUUUUUUUUUUUUACCCCCUCAUACCUUUGUCCUUUGAGAGAGACAGUUAAGUAGGUAAGGUCUUCCCAAGUCCUCAUACAUUACACUCUGGACAAAAGGCCUUGUGUUUGAAAGAGGCCUGAUCUACACCCCUCAUGUCCUCGGCACCAAUGAAGCACAAUGACAGGAGAAAAAACUUGGUCUUUAAGCCUCUGUGCCUGGCAAUCUUGUGAUAUCUUUUUUUUUUUUUUUGAGACAGGGUCUUGCUCUGUCACCCAGGCUGAAGUUCAGUGGUGCCGUCUUGGCUCACUGCAUCCUCCGCCUCCAGUUUCAAGUGAUUCUCCUGCCUCAGCCUCCUGAGUAGCUGGGAUUACAGGUGCCCGCCAACACACCCGGCUAAUUUUUGUAUUUUUAGUGGAGACGGCGUUUCACCAUGUUGUCCAGGCAUGUCUCGAACUCCUGACCUCAGGUGAUCUGCCCACCUUGGCCUCCCAAAGUGUUGGGAUUACAGGCGUUAGCCACCAUGCCUGGCCUUUGUGAUGGCAUCUUAAUUUUUACUCCUAAUGAUGCUCUAUUUUAGCUGCAAGAAAGCUCAAUAGAAGUCGGUCACCUGGCUCCUAGAGAGUAGGAACAGAUGAAGAUGUGAAUCAUUAGGGGGCAGAGGGCGGACUAUGGGCUCCAAGAUGGCCUCCAGAGAUUCUCUUCCUCCUGAUAUUCAUGUCCUUGUGUAGUACCAACCCACACUGAAUAGGGCUGAUCUGUGUGAUAACAGGAUAUUGCAUAAAUGAUGGAGUAUAACUUCCCAGCCUAGGCCAUAAAAGACAUUGCGAUUUCUGUCUUGUUUUCUCAUCCGUCACUAGCUCUAGGGAAAGCCUGCUGUCAUGUUGAAAGGAUACUAACAUAGUCCUAUGAAGGCCUGCAUUGUGAGCUGAGGCCUCCUGCCCACAGCCAGCACCAACUUUCCAGCCAUAUGAGCAAGCCACCUUGGAACUGGAUACCUCAGCCCACUACACUUUCAGAGGACUGCAACCUCUUGAAAGAUUCUGAGCCAGAACCCCCCAGCUAAUCAAUCCUGAAUUCCUGACUCACAGAAACUGGGAUAAUACAUACAUACUUAUUACUGUUUAAGCUGAAAUACCUAGCAAUAGGCCUCUAAUGUGGUAGAUGAGUAUUUUGUAUGAUGUUUUGUCAUUGAAAUGGCUCUUGAUUUUCAAGUCAUUCCUUUAGAAUCUGGCUGUUUCUCUGAAGCUCUAUGCUUACCACAUCUCUUGUACUUAUUCUGGCAUACACAACCAGAAAGGUGGCUUCUCUCUAGGGGUAAACAACCAGAGAGUGAUAAAGAACUUAGUAAGUUCUCACUAUAAUAACCACAGAGAAAGGAUGCUUCUUGUUACGUUCAUUUUACUUUUUUUUUUGAGACGGAGUCUUGCUCCGUCUCCCAGGGUGGAGUGCAGUGGCGCGAUCUCGGCUCACUGCAAGCUCCACCUCUGGGUUCACGCCAUUCUCCUGCCUCAGCCUCCCAAGUACCUGGGACUACAGGCGCCCGCCACCAUGCAUGGCUAAUUUUUUGUAUUUUUAGUAGAGAUGGGGUUUCACCAUGUUAGCCAGGAUGGUCUCGAUCUGCUGACCUCGUGAUCUGCCCGCCUUGGCCUCCCAAAGUGCUGGGAUUACAGGAGUGAGCCACUGCGCCUGGCCUCAUUUUACUUUUUGGGGGAAAAAAAAAAUCUAAGUUUAAUCAUAGGUUUACCUUACUCUGCUCCAAGGCAAUUUUUCAAUUUUUUAAAAAAUAAAUGUUUUCUUAAGUAUAAUACCCAGAAAAGUACACAAAAUGUCUUGAUAACAUAUUACAACACCCAUGUAAUCCCUACCCAGAUCAAAGAAACAGAAUAUCAUUAGCCUUCUAGAAGCCUAUCUGGUCAUCGUCAUUUUCUUUUCCUUUUUUUUUUUUUUUUU